Molecule: ribosomal RNA, 124 nt
Filed under: Trichoderma longibrachiatum
Lineage: Eukaryota; Fungi; Ascomycota; Sordariomycetes; Hypocreales; Hypocreaceae
Description: partial 18S ribosomal RNA
Source: RNAcentral
CCGGGGUGCGACGCGCCCGGGGCAAGAGAAUCCCGCCGAGGCAACAGAUUGGUAACGUUCACAUUGGGGUUUGGGAGUUGUAAACUCGGUAACUUCCUUAGGGUGACCUGCGGAGGGAUCAUUA